RNAcentral lists this ribosomal RNA (277 nucleotides) under Pseudomonas putida. RNAcentral describes it as "partial 16S ribosomal RNA". It matches the Rfam family "Bacterial small subunit ribosomal RNA", at positions 11 to 290 of the family's 1533-position model. The record is from RNAcentral. Lineage: Bacteria; Pseudomonadati; Pseudomonadota; Gammaproteobacteria; Pseudomonadales; Pseudomonadaceae.
GUUUGAUCAUGGCUCAGAUUGAACGCUGGCGGCAGGCCUAACACAUGCAAGUCGAGCGGAUGACGGGAGCUUGCUCCUUGAUUCAGCGGCGGACGGGUGAGUAAUGCCUAGGAAUCUGCCUGGUAGUGGGGGACAACGUUUCGAAAGGAACGCUAAUACCGCAUACGUCCUACGGGAGAAAGCAGGGGACCUUCGGGCCUUGCGCUAUCAGAUGAGCCUAGGUCGGAUUAGCUAGUUGGUGAGGUAAUGGCUCACCAAGGCGACGAUCCGUAACUGG